CCAGGCUGCUGCUUAUCGGAAGGAAUAAGGCAUUUUGGAGAAGAAUGUAAGGGGUUUAAGCAAGAAGCAAGCAAAACCAGGAAGACAUGAUCUGUAAGAUUUCAGCUGAACAUUGGGGACAACUUGAAUUAUGGAUGACAAGCAGAAUACUCACCUGCUACAGCCAACCAGUCUACUGCUAGAAUGUGUUGCUAAUUUUGCUUGUGUCCAAGGCAGUCUUCACUCUUUCAGCACCAUCACAAAGGAAACUUGAAGACAAAAAUGGGAGCACUUUCCAUCAUGUAAACAAAUAUGAGUCAUUGUUGUGUUUCAUUGUGAGAAUUCAGUUUGUUGACUUUCCUGAAUGAGUUUCACACAAGUUUGAUAAGAUACAUCAAAUUUAUUUAGAAGAAAAAAAUAAGAGCUUGAUAUUGACACAAGAAAUUAUUUAUUUAGAAAAGAGUUCUCUUAAUAUCUGGAGCUGAUUACAUGUGAACUUGAUUUUUAAAGCAGAAUGUACAACAGCUCAGGAGUCUACAGAAGUUAGUCAUUGUCACCUCAGAUGUUAAGUCUUAGAAACUGCAAACAAAUUGGUGAUGAGGUGGAACCUUUUUCCAAUGCAAGUUCAACAAGCCACCUAUUUGUUCCACCUUCCUACAGCUAAAGUCUCUGACAAAAACUUUUUGUGAAAAAUUUUUUAUAUUAAUCAUAUAGGAAAAUUGCAACUGAAAUGAGAAUCAGUCAUAAUUACACACUUUUCAGCCUUCAAAAUGAUCAGAAAAUUCCCCUUCCCACGAUAAAUUUGAUGGCUGUACCAGCUUCUCUGCCAUUGUUCAAGAUGUCCCCUGUGAUGGGAUGUACUCUGUUUAUUUCCACUCUUUUCAUAAAUGUACCUGAAAUUUAUAAAAUUGAAGGAUUCCAGAAACUCAUGCGAAUACAUAUUUUCUUGAAAAGAAAGUAGGAUAGGCAACACAGAUAUUUCACACCCACCAUCUGCUGGUCUAGCCAGUAAGUUUGUCCAUGGAACAAAACACCGCUUAAUAGAAAAAAGAGAGCUUGUUCCCAAGGUGGCUUUAUUCCUCCCUCUGUGAGAAUACCUAUUAACCACGGACACUCAAACAGAAUUCCCUUUAAAACUUCUAGGUAGGACAAUUUUGUCAAAACCUUCUGAAUAUAAAAAUUUCCAUGGAAAAAGAUUGGACAUAGAUCGGAAUUGUGUGUUCUUGUGUUUAGUUGUUGUUGGUUGUUGUUUUUUUUCUUUCAUAAUUUGUUUCUUUAAUUUGUUUUUAAUCUGAAGACUGAUUUUAAAAGUUAUAGAAAGUGAAAGAGUGAUUCCCUCUACCUAUAUCAUUAACUCUUGCCAGAAACAAUCACAGAUGCAUUGAUAUAAGAGAAUAUGUAAUUUUGUCCUUUUGGAAUUAUGAGGAGAUAUGUACUCCAUAUUCUACAGUUUAUAAAUCUAUUUCUCAUGUGUUCAAAGCCAGUUUAUAUUAUUUUUCUGCUCAAAGUUCAUAUCCCACAGGACACGCUAGUUUUUUGAGACAGAGAUAAUAUAUAAAUAAAACCUCAUAACUUCACCUUGUCAUUUUCUUCUUUUCUUCUCUAGUUUUUUG
Long non-coding RNA from Prinia subflava (tawny-flanked prinia), 1592 nucleotides. RefSeq lists it as uncharacterized. NCBI's taxonomy places the organism in Eukaryota, Metazoa, Chordata, Aves, Passeriformes, Cisticolidae. The record is from RefSeq and is a predicted model, not a curated record. The transcript is spliced from 3 exons.